RNAcentral lists this transfer RNA (88 nucleotides) under Sebaldella termitidis. RNAcentral's name for it is "tRNA-Leu". It matches the Rfam family "tRNA". Rfam says of the family: Transfer RNA (tRNA) molecules are approximately 80 nucleotides in length. Their secondary structure includes four short double-helical elements and three loops (D, anti-codon, and T loops). Lineage: Bacteria; Fusobacteriati; Fusobacteriota; Fusobacteriia; Fusobacteriales; Leptotrichiaceae. RNAcentral also lists the same sequence under 1 other name. The record is from RNAcentral.
GCCUUGGUGGCGAAAUAGGUAGACGCACAGGACUUAAAAUCCUGUGGUGAUUAUCACCGUGCCGGUUCAAGUCCGGCCCGAGGCACCA